RNAcentral lists this ribosomal RNA (352 nucleotides) under uncultured bacterium. Its description in RNAcentral is "bacterial SSU rRNA". It matches the Rfam family "Bacterial small subunit ribosomal RNA", at positions 29 to 409 of the family's 1533-position model. The record is from RNAcentral.
AACGAACGCUGGCAGCAGGCUUAACACAUGCAAGUCGAACGCCCCGCAAGGGGAGUGGCAGACGGGUGAGUAACGCGUGGGAAUCUACCCAGUUCUACGGAAUAACACAGGGAAACUUGUGCUAAUACCGUAUAAGCCCUACGGGGGAAAGAUUUAUCGGGACUGGAUGAGCCCGCGUUGGAUUAAGCUAGUUGGUGGGGUAAAUGGCCUACCAAGGCGACGAUCCAUAGCUGGUCUGAGAGGAUGAUCAGCCACACUGGACUGAGACACGGCCCAGACUCCUACGGGAGGCAGCAGUGGGGAAUAUUGGACAAUGGGCGAAAGCCUGAUCCAGCCAUGCCGCGUGAGUGAU